This 1352-nucleotide ribosomal RNA is filed under the name metagenome. RNAcentral's name for it is "bacterial LSU rRNA". It matches the Rfam family "Bacterial large subunit ribosomal RNA", at positions 1564 to 2925 of the family's 2925-position model. The record is from RNAcentral.
CGAGUCCGAGUCUCCACGGAGACGAAGUGGCGGUCAUCCGGCUUCCUAGAAAAGCUCUAACCACGUUAAUCUUUAGUUGCCUGUACCCGAAACCGACACAGGUAGGGGGGUAGAGAAUACCAAGGGGCGCGAGAUAACUCUCUCUAAGGAACUCGGCAAAGUGACCCCGUAACUUCGGGAGAAGGGGUACCACUGAGAAGUGGUCGCAGUGAAGAGGCCCAGGCGACUGUUUACCAAAAACACAGGUCUCCGCCAAGUCGCAAGACGAAGUAUGGGGGCUGACGCCUGCCCAGUGCCGGAAGGUUAAGGAAGUGGGUUAGGGAUUCGUCCCGAAGCUGACGACUGAAGCCCCGGUGAACGGCGGCCGUAACUAUAACGGUCCUAAGGUAGCGAAAUUCCUUGUCGGGUAAGUUCCGACCCGCACGAAAGGCGUAACGAUCUGGGCGCUGUCUCGGAGAGAGGCUCGGCGAAAUAGGAUUGUUUGUGAAGAUACGGACUACCUGCACCUAGACAGAAAGACCCUAUGAAGCUUUACUGUAGCUUGGAAUUGGGUUCGGGCUUGGUUUGCGCAGGAUAGGUGGGAGGCGAAGAAGAUUUGCUUGUGGGUGAAUCUGAGCCAACGGUGAGAUACCACUCUAACCAGGCUAGAAUUCUAACUUCAACCCGUCAACCGGGGGAAGGACAGUUUCAGGUGGGCAGUUUGACUGGGGCGGUCGCCUCCUAAAAGAUAACGGAGGCGCACAAAGGUUCCCUCAGGCUGGUUGGAAAUCAGCCAACGAGUGCAAAGGCAGAAGGGAGCUUGACUGCGAGACCUACAAGUCAAGCAGGGUGGAAACACGGUCUUAGUGAUCCGACGGCACCGAGUGGAAGGGCCGUCGCUCAACGGAUAAAAGUUACUCUAGGGUAACAGGCUGAUCUCCCCCAAGAGUUCACAUCGACGGGGAGGUUUGGCACCUCGAUGUCGGCUCAUCGCAACCUGGGGCGGAAGUACGUCCCAAGGGUUGGGCUGUUCGCCCAUUAAAGCGGUACGUGAGCUGGGUUCAGAACGUCGUGAGACAGUUCGGUCCAUAUCCGGUGUAGGCGCAAGAACAUUGAGAGGAGUCUUCCUUAGUACGAGAGGACCGGGAAGAACGCACCGCUGGUGUACCUGUUAUCGUGCCAACGGUAAACGCAGGGUAGCCAAGUGCGGAGUGGAUAACCGCUGAAAGCAUCUAAGUGGGAAGCCCACCUCAAGAUGAGUGUUCUCAUGGAGUAAUCCAGUAAGGUCACGGGAAGACGACCCGUUGAUAGGCGGUAGGUGGAAGUUCAGCAAUGGAUGAAGCCGAGCCGUACUAACAGACCGAGGGCUUGAC